ACAGGCAAGCUUUCCGGUGGGCUCUGUGGUACCUGAUGUAAAGUGAAUGGUCUGCACGAACACAAAUACUCUUAUCUCGCUGAAAUCGUGACGGAUUUAAAAAUGGUUCAGUUUCUUACAAACAUUAUUAACGUGGCUAUAAUUCUGGAUGCUUGAACAUGUUUCAUGAACAUUAUUCAUAAGUACAUCUCUGACAUUUAUAACAAACCAACAAGAUAGGUAGAAAAUGUAAGCAAGUUAUGGUUAUUUAAAAAGUACAUGCACUAUUAAAACACAAUGUUAUGAGUGAGCAAGCUGACUGUGACAAGAUGGCGCCAGGUGCGGAUGUCGAACUCCAUUGGCCAGCAGCGCGGACAAGAGUUUAUUAUGAAUAUCUAUGGCCAGGACUGUCCUUUCAUUGUGUCUAUAGAUAAAAAUAGCAAUGAAUACUUUUAUUCAGAAAACAUUAUUAUGUUUUAGUUCUCAGAGUGUCCACCCAAUUAUGAUAAGGUGCACAGAGAGAUGUCACGGGAGGGUGCGAGAGUUCUCGCGCUGGGAUACAAAGAGAUGGGACACCUGAGCCAUCAGCAGGUAUGGCCCUACUGGCUAACACCCCAGAGCGUAUACCAAAGAGGAAGAAGAGAAAUAAAGACAAAGAGAUUUCCUCUGUAGACCCCAGACCUCCUCCUCCAGUCACAAGUUCAGGGAAACUCACUUCACGUGGAGCCAGACAGAGAAUAAUUGCAGAGAGAGAGGAACAGCUCGUUGCACAAAAGGAGCGGAUCAGUCAAGAACUACGAGAAUUAGAAGAAGAUCAGAUACAAGUUGUCAAACUGGGCGAUGCGUCCAUUGCUGCUCCGUUCAUAUCUAAGCUGUCCUCUAUUCAGUGCAGUAAGUCAAACUCACUGGGUUUUACCCUGUUCCUGUUACCUGUUUUUGUAUUCUGCCUGUUUUUGACCUGUGCCUGUAUU
Paramisgurnus dabryanus is the source of this 950-nucleotide long non-coding RNA. RefSeq lists it as uncharacterized. The record is from RefSeq and is a predicted model, not a curated record. NCBI's taxonomy places the organism in Eukaryota, Metazoa, Chordata, Actinopteri, Cypriniformes, Cobitidae.